Molecule: unclassified non-coding RNA, 1448 nt
Filed under: Hevea brasiliensis (rubber tree)
Lineage: Eukaryota; Viridiplantae; Streptophyta; Magnoliopsida; Malpighiales; Euphorbiaceae
Source: RNAcentral
ACCAUUGACUCAACCAUGAACUUUCUCCGUAAACCUCCCUCUGGACAUGCCAUUGAUUCUGAGCAAAGCUCAACCCCUCCUGCAGGUAUUUCAGGUUUGAAUUUCAAGAGUUUUGCGUACUCUCUCAACAAAUGAAACAUGUAUGCAUACACGUAUUCCAUUUUCAGAUUUUCCUGAAUAAAUCUGCUUCCUGCCUUUCCAAUGGCUUGUGCCUUAUGAGGGUGACUAUUGCCCCAUUCCACCGCAAACUUGAUAUCUCUGCACUUGUUUGUUGCACUAAUGGGCCAAUAUUGGUGCAUUGGCACCAAGCUUCUCAUGAAGAAAUCGUAGUAAUCAGGUUUUAUGAGCAGGGUCAUGGAAUCGCAUGAUAGGAUAUACUUGCCACUCACUGACCAUCCCCUUCCUUCUAUAUAAAUUUUGUAUCUGUGGGUGCAUUGGUCUUCUAAGUUUGAAUGUUUAAAUCCGUGCCUUGUUUCUUUAGGCCAGUUCUGUUUAUAGAGGCGGGCAUUCCAGUCAUGCUUGUGUGAGACACUGCAACUCAUAAGGUCUCCCCUGUUUGGUGUUACUUUUGGGUUCCCUUUCCAGUAGGCAUAGGGCACCCUAUCCUUCCACUUUUUUUUCUUGCUGCCUUCUAUAAUUCCCUCUAACAUACUUUCCCAUGGUUUUAUGUUGAUCUCAGCCCAACCCCAAAAGGACCAAUCAGGAAAGAUGAUGCCCAAUUUGUCUGCAUGUCCACAAUAUUGAAACACUGGAGGAGGCGACGAGGCAUUAGGUCCCUGGUAGUCAUGUUUUACAACCACUGGUAUGUCACCACACCCAAACAUGAGUUCUAGGUCAGGUACCCUGUCAGGAUACAACCUCAGAAGCUGCAAAAUACCCCAUAAGGUAAACAAGUCUCUUGUCUGAAACGAUCUACGAUAUGUCUCCACAUAUGCCUUCCCUUUGGAAAUAACUAGUCUAAAAUCUACAAUAUCUUUAGCUCUUUCCACCAUGUCCCUCGAGAUUCCUGUACUCUUCCAUGGCCGGAGAUCUUCGUGGAUCCACCGGAAGUACUCCGGACAUGAAGCGUUUGAAGAUUCAUGAGCUUCAAAUGCCACCGAAUAAUUGACCUUGCAUGUUCUGACUAAGCUUUCAUUUGAGCAAUUCAGGAUGUAGCCAUUUGAAUUUUUGGGACUUUUUGGGGUAAGAAAGUUAGAAUACUGAAAAAGGUCAAUCCUGAAAAAGAAGGCACCAAAAAGGAGGACUAUGAAGGAAAGGAAGACAGCGGCUGAAGCCCAUCUCUUCACAGCUCGAGAAGCAGUGGAAAAAUGAGUUUGAACUUGAUUUCCUUGCAAGGAGAAGGAGUUUACUUGAUCUGCCAUUGACAUUUAGAAAUAAUAAGAGAAGAUUGGCUUCACCUUUUGUGUAAGGCGAUGGGGUUUAUGGGUUUGAGGAGUAUCACAAUUUUU